Molecule: long non-coding RNA, 234 nt
Filed under: Panax ginseng (ginseng)
Lineage: Eukaryota; Viridiplantae; Streptophyta; Magnoliopsida; Apiales; Araliaceae
Description: long non-coding RNA (PGIN_LNC009826)
Source: RNAcentral
AAUAAAAUCAAAACUUCUCAUAUAAAUAGAUCAUAAUACUCGAGUCACAAUAACUACAAAAUUUGUUAUUGUAUCUUGGUCUCACAAGGACCAUAGUACCUACAAAAUUUAUUAACUAACAUAAGAAAACUGAAAGAAUAACAAUGAACUAGAAGGAAUAAAGUGUGACAUGUUAGAUCCACUUCAUCAUCAUUUUCUUCAAAAAAAUCAAGGUUGGGCAUGUAAACUUCAUGC